AGAGUUUGAUCAUGGCUCAGGAUGAACGCUGGCGGCGUGCUUAACACAUGCAAGUCGAACGAACCUUCGGGUUAGUGGCGGACGGGUGAGUAACGCGUGAGAAUCUGCCCUCAGGAGGGGGAUAACGGUUGGAAACGACCGCUAAUACCCCAUAUGCCUAUUGGUGAAAUGAAUUUCGCCUGAGGAUGAGCUCGCGUCUGAUUAGCUAGUUGGUGAGGUAAUGGCUCACCAAGGCUUCGAUCAGUAGCUGGUCUGAGAGGAUGAUCAGCCACACUGGGACUGAGACACGGCCCAGACUCCUACGGGAGGCAGCAGUGGGGAAUUUUCCGCAAUGGGCGAAAGCCUGACGGAGCAACGCCGCGUGAGGGACGAAGGCCUCUGGGCUGUAAACCUCUUUUCUCAAGGAAGAAGAUAUGACGGUACUUGAGGAAUAAGCCACGGCUAAUUCCGUGCCAGCAGCCGCGGU
This 466-nucleotide ribosomal RNA is filed under the name uncultured bacterium. RNAcentral describes it as "bacterial SSU rRNA". It matches the Rfam family "Bacterial small subunit ribosomal RNA", at positions 8 to 521 of the family's 1533-position model. The record is from RNAcentral.